This 580-nucleotide small RNA is filed under the name Pongo abelii (Sumatran orangutan). RNAcentral's name for it is "processed transcript". Lineage: Eukaryota; Metazoa; Chordata; Mammalia; Primates; Hominidae. The record is from RNAcentral.
AACACUUUCAUGGUACUGCAAGUCAUUAAGUUUACUAAGGACCUGCCCGUCUUCCGUUCCCUGCCCAUUGAAGACCAGAUCUCCCUUCUCAAGGGAGCAGCUGUGGAAAUCUGUCACAUCGUACUCAAUACCACUUUCUGUCUCCAAACACAAAACUUUCUCUGCGGGCCUCUUCGCUACACAAUUGAAGACGGAGCCCGUGCUCCCUAUCUUACAGACCGACCUGGAGUUACCCAGAGAGAUGAGAUUGAUCAGCUGCAAGAGGAGAUGGCACUGACUCUGCAAAGCUACAUCAAGGGCCAGCAGCGAAGGCCCCGGGAUCGGUUUCUGUAUGCGAAGUUGCUGGGCCUGCUGGCUGAGCUCCGGAGCAUUAAUGAGGCCUACGGGUACCAAAUCCAGCACAUCCAGGGCCUGUCUGCCAUGAUGCCGCUGCUCCAGGAGAUCUGCAGCUGAGGCCAGGCUCACUUCCUUCCCCAGCUCACCUGGGACACCCUGGAUACACUGGAGUGGGAAAAUGCUGGGACCAAAGAUUGGGCCAGGUUCAAAGGGAGCCCAGUGGUUGCAAUGAAAGACUAAAGCG